RNAcentral lists this long non-coding RNA (1203 nucleotides) under Monodelphis domestica (gray short-tailed opossum). Its description in RNAcentral is "lncRNA (ENSMODG00000030170.2)". The record is from RNAcentral. Lineage: Eukaryota; Metazoa; Chordata; Mammalia; Didelphimorphia; Didelphidae.
AUUUCAUAGUUGGGAAUUUUCCCAUGGCAACCACUUAUUUUUGAUAUAAAAUCAAGACACUAAAAAUUAUCUUUACAAUUUUUGGCAAUUCAGAGUCUUGAAACCCACAUUUUAGUGGUCACACCAUUGUGCUGUGUGGCCUUGCCUUGAAUGGGUUACAUGGCUCCAAGACAGGGCUAUACCCCCUAGUGGAAAAAUGGAACACUGUUUCCUAGGGUGGAUAUCAAACUGUCAGAUAGAUAUAUACUAUUGUUCUUGGAAUACACCCUAAAAACAUUAACUAAAUUAAAUUAAAUAAUGCUGUCCUAAGUACAAAGGCAGGAUAAUCUGUCUAAGGCCAUGGGGGUCAUACCCAAGGAUGAGAUCUAGUGGUUCACCAAACAAUUAAAGGGCUGGAUGCACAUGAAAUACUCCCUGAGGUGAUGGUACCAAACCACAGUCAAUUUACUGCUCCUUUUUUUUACAUCUAACAGCUCCUUCCCUUACCUCUCACUCUUAAAAUCUCUUGUUUCUUUUAAAACUCAGAUCAAGUGUCACCAGUGUGAAUUCCUUCCUGAUCCCACCACUUCAGUACUCUUUACCUUCUAACUUUACUUAAUAUUUAUUUUCUCUAUAUUCAGAAUAACUCCCUAAUAGAUUUUAAAUUCCUCAAGUCCUUUGUCUUUUUUUUUUUGAAUCCUCACCUUCCAUCUUAGACUCCACACUCUAUAUUGGUUCCAUGGCAGAAGAACAGUAAGAGUUAGUCAAUGGUGUGGAAAUGAAAUUAGACUGACAGUUUGUGGGGGAAGGGGCCAACUGGGAGUGGCAGUUGGGUCUUGUGACUAGUACUUCCUUCCUGCUGGGUGUGGCAGUUGGGUCUUGUGACUAGCACUUCCUUCCUGCCGGGUGGGACUGGCUUCUGGGUGUUGGAGGAGAGAGGAGCGUGGUCAGCCCAGUCUGGAGUGGCAUGCUCUUCUUGGUUCAGCCAGAAGACACAGGCUUCUGAAGAUAAUAACUAUUUUGAGGUAAAAGUACCAAGAUGAUCCCAUAGUUUUAGAAGAUCCAGAGGUCCUGUCAAAGGUUUCAUGGUGAGUCAAAGCUGAAUUAUGUCAUUGGCAGUAUAUUAUCAGAGAACAGCACUGUCCAACAGACUAAUAAUGACUUGUGGAUAUAUCUAAAAGGAUAAUUUAGGAGGAAUCACAAAGAGAGAAAAGAGCUAUCAGA